GACCGCGUAGCUCAGUUGGCAGAGCAUUGGGCUAGUAUUCCAAAGGUCGUAGGUUGAACUAGGUUCGAUUCCCACCGUGGUCA
Paramuricea clavata is the source of this 83-nucleotide non-coding RNA. Lineage: Eukaryota; Metazoa; Cnidaria; Anthozoa; Malacalcyonacea; Plexauridae. The record is from the annotation of a GenBank genome assembly.